GCCUCUCUUAUGGGAGGGAGUCCUGCUGUUUGCACUCAACGGCGCCGCAGGAGUCCACUUUUAUUCUUAACAGUUUCAAUCUAACUUUGAGGGCUCCUCCCUCUGGCCUCCCUCUGAGGCUAUCUGGGCAUUUAGGUAGUUUCCAAUUCUCAGUGGAAAUUAACCCCCAGGACAUCCAUCAUUAAACAUGAAGGUUUUCCCCACUUUCCUGAAAGUUACUGAGGACAAUUCUCAGAAGUGGAAAUCAUGGGGCCCAAAGAACUGAGAGUUCUCUUUGAAGCUAUCAUCAAAACUAUCUUCUAAAAGGCCUGUCCAGAGCCCAGCAGUACAACAUGGCCACCAUUAGCCAUCCCACUGUGGGGAAAAUGUGUGUGUGUGUGUGUGUGUGGUGCAGAAGCCAAAGGUCUUGCUGACCUGGCACUGGAACCCAAUAAAUAACCUAGACUCACUAA
Molecule: long non-coding RNA, 452 nt
Filed under: Mus musculus (house mouse)
Lineage: Eukaryota; Metazoa; Chordata; Mammalia; Rodentia; Muridae
Description: predicted gene, 38150
Source: RNAcentral